AUGCAACGCAUAAGUGCCCCGCCUGGGGAGUACGGUCGCAAGACUAAACUCAAAGGAAUUGACGGGGCCCGCACAAGCGGUGGAGCAUGUGGUUUAAUUGAAGCAACGCGCAGAACCUUACCAGCCCUUGACAUGGGCAGGACCGAUCCAGAGAUGGACUUUUCCCGCAAGGGACCUGCCGCACAGGUGCUGCAUGGCUGUCGUCAGCUCGUGUCGUGAGAUGUUGGGUUAAGUCCCGCAACGAGCGCAACCCUUGUCAUUAGUUGCUACGAAAGGGCACUCUAAUGAGACUGCCGGUGACAAACCGGAGGAAGGUGGGGAUGACGUCAAGUCCUCAUGGCCCUUAUGGGUAGGGCUACACACGUCAUACAAUGGCUGGUACAGAGGGUUGCCAACCCGCGAGGGGGAGCCAAUCCCAUAAAACCAGUCGUAGUCCGGAUCGCAGUCUGCAACUCGACUGCGUGAAGUCGGAAUCGCUAGUAAUCGCGGAUCAGAAUGUCGCGGUGAAUACGUUCCCGGGUCUUGUACACACCGCCCGUCACACCAUGGGAGCGGGUUCUGCCAGAAGUAGUUAGCCUAACCGCAAGGGGGGCGAUUACCACGGCAGGGUUCGUGACUGGGGUGAAGUCGUAACAAGGU
RNAcentral lists this ribosomal RNA (639 nucleotides) under uncultured bacterium. Its description in RNAcentral is "bacterial SSU rRNA". It matches the Rfam family "Bacterial small subunit ribosomal RNA", at positions 848 to 1497 of the family's 1533-position model. The record is from RNAcentral.